UGUAAGAAAGGAUCUCUGCUUGAAGUUAGCCUGUUGUUUAAAAAUAUGGAGGAAGAUGGGAUUGCGCCAAAUGAUUAUACAUACAACACACUAAUUCGAGCUCAUCUCCGAGAUGGUGGUGACUUAACAAAAUCAGCAAAACUUAUAGAAGAAAUGAAGAGAUGUGGCUUCUCUGCAGAUGCUUCCACUGUGAAGAUGGACCAUCUCCGAGAUGGUGACUUAGCCAAAUCAGCUGAACUUAUAGAAGAAAUGAAGAGAUGUGGCUUCUCUGCAGAUGCUUCCACUGUGAAGAUGGUUAUGGAUAUGUUAUCGGAUGGUAGAAUGAAGAAAACCUUUUUGGAUAUGCUUUCUUAGAAUAUUUGGAUCUUAGUUGCUAGAGACAGAAGUCCCGGUUAGUGUUUCGAUGAUGUGUAUCUGGGCUUACUAGUUGAAACAAAGCUUGAUUGAUGCCCCUUCAGUUUGUAGUAAUGAAUGGCAUUAACAUGUACAAUCGUAGACCAGUCUCUACAAAGUCGUCUCCUUUUGUAUUAAUUUUCACUACCACGUCUAUUUACACAUACAAAGCCCACAAAAAUAAUAAACUAUGAUCCUUACCAGCUCCC
Brassica napus (rape) is the source of this 602-nucleotide long non-coding RNA. RefSeq lists it as uncharacterized. Lineage: Eukaryota; Viridiplantae; Streptophyta; Magnoliopsida; Brassicales; Brassicaceae. The transcript has 2 exons. The record is from RefSeq and is a predicted model, not a curated record.